CACGCAGGCGGUUUGUUAAGUCAGAUGUGAAAUCCCCGGGCUCAACCUGGGAACUGCAUUUGAAACUGGCAAGCUAGAGUCUCGUAGAGGGGGGUAGAAUUCCAGGUGUAGCGGUGAAAUGCGUAGAGAUCUGGAGGAAUACCGGUGGCGAAGGCGGCCCCCUGGACGAAGACUGACGCUCAGGUGCGAAGCGUGGGGAGACAAACGA
Molecule: ribosomal RNA, 208 nt
Filed under: uncultured bacterium
Lineage: Bacteria
Description: partial 16S ribosomal RNA
Rfam family: Bacterial small subunit ribosomal RNA
Source: RNAcentral